AGUGAACGCUGGCGGUAGGCCUAACACAUGCAAGUCGAACGGCAGCACAGUAAGAGCUUGCUCUUACGGGUGGCGAGUGGCGGACGGGUGAGGCAUACAUCGGAAUCUACUUUUUCGUGGGGGAUAACGUAGGGAAACUUACGCUACUACCGCAUACGAUCUACGGGUGAAAGCAGGGGAUCUUCGGACCUUGCGCGAUUGAAUGAGCCGAUGUCGGAUUAGCUAGUUGGCGGGGUAAAGGCCCACCAAGGCGACGAUCCGUAGCUGGUCUGAGAGGAUGAUCAGCCACACUGGAACUGAGACACGGUCCAGACUCCUACGGGAGGCAGCAGUGGGGAAUAUUGGGCAAUGGGCGCAAGCCUGAUCCAGCAAUGCCGCGUGGGUGAAGAAGGCCUUCGGAUUGUAAAGCCCUGUUGUUGGGAAAGAAAAGCAGCAGGUUAAUACCCCGCUGUUCUGACGGUACCCAAAGAAUAAGCACCGGCUAACUUCGUG
RNAcentral lists this ribosomal RNA (492 nucleotides) under uncultured bacterium. Its description in RNAcentral is "partial 16S ribosomal RNA". It matches the Rfam family "Bacterial small subunit ribosomal RNA", at positions 29 to 507 of the family's 1533-position model. The record is from RNAcentral.